Molecule: non-coding RNA, 1252 nt
Organism: Suricata suricatta (meerkat)
Lineage: Eukaryota; Metazoa; Chordata; Mammalia; Carnivora; Herpestidae
Source: the annotation of a RefSeq genome assembly
CUGCACACUUCCUGGAUGUCAUGGGCACUGGGCCAGGCAGCAUUCCAGGCCUGGGCACCUGACACCCUGCCCGGACACUCACAGGAGCGAGACCCUUGUGUUCACACAACCUCCUCUCUUGCAGCCUCCACCAAGGCCCCAUCGGUUUUCCCACUGAGCCCCAGCUGCGGGACCACAUCUGGCUCCACAGUGGCCGUGGGCUGCCUGGUGUCCAGCUACUUCCCUGAGCCGGUGACGGUGACCUGGAACUCCGGCGCCCUGACCAGCGGGGUGCACACCUUCCCAUCCGUCCUGCAGGCCUCCGGGCUCUACUCUCUCAGCAGCAUGGUGACAGUGCCCACCAGCGACUUCUACAGUGAAAGUAAGACCUUCACCUGCAAUGUGGCCCACCCGCCCAGCAACACCAAGGUGGACAAGACAGUGCCCAAAACAAAAACAGACCCCUGUGAAGGAUGUCCCAAGUGCCCAGCUCCUGAGAUACUGGGAGGCCCCUCUGUCUUCAUCUUCCCCCCAAAACCCAAGGACACCCUCUCAAUCUCCCGGACGCCCGAGGUCACGUGCUUGGUGGUGGACCUGAGCCAAGAAGACCCCGAGGUCCAGAUCACAUGGUUCAUGGAUAACGUCGAGAUGCACACGGCCAAGACAAAGCCACGUGAGGAGCAGUUCAACAGCACCUACCGGGUGGUCAGUGUCCUACCCAUCCUGCACCAGGACUGGCUCAAGGGGAAGGAGUUCAAGUGCAAGGUCAACAACAAAGCCCUCCCGUCCCCCAUCGAGAAGACUAUCUCCAAGGCCAAAGGGCAACCCCGCGAGCCCCAGGUGUACAUGAUGCCUCCACCCUCAGAGGAGCUCAGCAAGUCCGUAGUCAGCCUAACCUGCCUGGUCCAAGGCUUCUACCCAUCUGACAUUGCCGUCGAGUGGGAGGUCAACGGACAGCCAGAGCCAGAGAACAGCUACCGGACGACCCCACCCAUCCUGGACCGCGACGGCACCUACUUCCUGUACAGCAGGUUCCCAGUGGACAAGUCCCGCUGGCAGAAUGGAAACACCUUCUCGUGCUCGGUGUCACAUGAAGCCCUGCACAGCCACCACACACAGAAAUCCCUCUCCUACUCUCCGGGUAAAUGAGCAGCCCGCCCGGCCCCCCAGCAGGCCUCCUCGGGCUCUGGGCCCCCACCCCUGUGUACCUCCUUCCCGGGCAAGGCACCCCUGUGUGAAAUAAACCACCCAGCGCUGCCCUGGGACCCUGCGA